This is a long non-coding RNA of Neofelis nebulosa (Clouded leopard), 339 nucleotides long. RefSeq lists it as uncharacterized. NCBI's taxonomy places the organism in Eukaryota, Metazoa, Chordata, Mammalia, Carnivora, Felidae. The record is from RefSeq and is a predicted model, not a curated record. The transcript is spliced from 3 exons.
UUCUAGAAUGUUUAAAAUGAGGCAUCUGAGAAGGAAAGGGUAUUGAUAGGACUGAAUGAAAAGAAAACACCCGGGAUCCUUAGGAAAAGGACACAGAAUGAACACAACUUGGUUUGUGAAGUAUCAGGACUAAAACGAAAUUCCACGCCCCAUUCUGCUUCAAAGCCCUCUCCAUCCUGCCAGCCUCCACUAAACACAAUGAAACCCUUUCUCACCUCCAGCGUUCAACUCCACUGAAGGAACUCAGGAUUAUUGUUUACCCAUCCGUGAACCUAUACUCGAAAAAACAUUAAAACCAAGACAAUCAUCAAGAACAGGACACUCUUAAACAUAUACAAG